Molecule: ribosomal RNA, 301 nt
Filed under: uncultured bacterium
Lineage: Bacteria
Description: partial 16S ribosomal RNA
Rfam family: Bacterial small subunit ribosomal RNA
Source: RNAcentral
CAGCAGCCGCGGUAAAACGUAGGGUGCAAGCGUUAAUCGGAAUUACCGGGCGUAAAGCGUGCGCAGGCGGUUAUGUAAGACAGAUGUGAAAUGCCCGGGCUUAACCUGGGAACUGCAUUUGUGACUGCAUGGCUAGAAUCUGGCAGAGGGGGGUAGAACUCCACGUGUAGCAGUGAAAUGCGUAGAUAUGUGGAGGAAUACCGAUGGCGAAGGCAGCCCCCUGGGCCAAGAUUGACGCUCAUGCACGAAAGCGUGGGGAGCAAACAGGAUUAGAUACCCGCGUAGUCCCUGUCUCUUAUAC